UGAAGUCGUUUAUUAUGUGUGUCGUAGCGGGUUUUCUUUGAUAUCAGCGUCGUCUGGUACAGAAACAUGCCGCUGUGGACAUGCUGUAAAUCUAUAUUUGUGUUAAACGAGUGAGUGUCAAUUUCAAGUGCGAAUUUUGUUUUCUGGAGCUGUCGCAUAUAUAUGCAAGUACUGUGCGAAACUCGGCGCUGAAGGGGGUGACAUGAGACGUCUGUAGUUCACAAUAGUAAUGUUCCCGUGUUGUCGGAAACCAUUGGGUAUUUGUCAGGAACACGAGGUGUGGAAGUAGGACAAUGUGCAUUUUCGUCCUGGAAAAAAGAUAAAGUAGGAAUACUUCCAUGGUCAGCUAACAACUGUGGUGGAAGAAGGAUCCUAAGAAAGUAAAAGCAGCAGAGCAGCAUCUGGAAAAUCAAGUCUCCGCACCACUGAUUGGUGAAAGCACUGUCCAGUCUCUUCACGUCUUUUUUUUGCCAGAGGUGGGACGCCAU
RNAcentral lists this long non-coding RNA (488 nucleotides) under Dermacentor andersoni. Its description in RNAcentral is "uncharacterized LOC126516886". Lineage: Eukaryota; Metazoa; Arthropoda; Arachnida; Ixodida; Ixodidae. The record is from RNAcentral.